GGGUCGAUGGCGUAGCUGGCUAUCGCAUCUGUCUAACAUAUUAAUGUCACAGAAGGUCCUCAGUUCGAACCUGGGUCGACUCA
This is a non-coding RNA of Armillaria luteobubalina, 83 nucleotides long. The record is from the annotation of a GenBank genome assembly. Lineage: Eukaryota; Fungi; Basidiomycota; Agaricomycetes; Agaricales; Physalacriaceae.